AGUGAACGCUGGCGGCAGGCCUAACACAUGCAAGUCGAACGGCAGCACGGCAGUAGCAAUACUGUGGGUGGCGAGUGGCGGACGGGUGAGGAAUACAUGGGAAUCUGCCCAGUCGUGGGGGAUAACGUAUGGAAACGUACGCUAAUACCGCAUGCGCCCUACGGGGGAAAGUCGGGGACCGCAAGGCCUGGCGCGAUUGGAUGAGCCCAUGUUCGAUUAGCUAGUUGGCGGGGUAAAGGCCCACCAAGGCGACGAUCGAUAGCUGGUCUGAGAGGAUGAUCAGCCACACUGGAACUGAGACACGGUCCAGACUCCUACGGGAGGCAGCAGUAGGGAAUAUUGGACAAUGGGGGCAACCCUGAUCCAGCCAUGCCGCGUGAGUGAAGAAGGCCCUCGGGUUGUAAAGCUCUUUUGUCCGGAAAGAAAAGCAAUCGGUUAAUACCCAGUUGUUCUGACGGUACCGG
RNAcentral lists this ribosomal RNA (464 nucleotides) under uncultured bacterium. Its description in RNAcentral is "bacterial SSU rRNA". It matches the Rfam family "Bacterial small subunit ribosomal RNA", at positions 29 to 481 of the family's 1533-position model. The record is from RNAcentral.